This 428-nucleotide ribosomal RNA is filed under the name uncultured bacterium. RNAcentral's name for it is "bacterial SSU rRNA". It matches the Rfam family "Bacterial small subunit ribosomal RNA", at positions 354 to 796 of the family's 1533-position model. The record is from RNAcentral.
GUGGGGAAUAUUGCGCAAUGGGGGAAACCCUGACGCAGCGACGCCGCGUGAGCGAAGAAGGCCUUUGGGUUGUAAAGCUCUGUUCUAAGGGACGAAGGCAGUGACGGUACCUUAGGAGGAAGCCCCGGCUAACUACGUGCCAGCAGCCGCGGUAAUACGUAGGGGGCGAGCGUUGUCCGGAAUUACUGGGCGUAAAGCGCGUGUAGGCGGGUGCUUAAGUCAGAUGUGAAAUACCGGGGCCCAACCCCGGGGCUGCAUCUGAAACUGGGCAUCUUGAGGGCAGGAGAGGAAAGUGGAAUUCCUGGUGUAGCGGUGAAAUGCGUAGAUAUCAGGAGGAACACCAGUGGCGAAGGCGGCUUUCUGGACUGACCCUGACGCUGAGACGCGAAAGCGUGGGGAGCAAACAGGAUUAGAAACCCUAGUAGUCC